This 253-nucleotide ribosomal RNA is filed under the name uncultured bacterium. RNAcentral describes it as "partial 16S ribosomal RNA". It matches the Rfam family "Bacterial small subunit ribosomal RNA", at positions 524 to 776 of the family's 1533-position model. The record is from RNAcentral.
UACAGAGGUCUCAAGCGUUGUUCGGAUUCAUUGGGCGUAAAGGGUGCGUAGGUGGUACCGUAAGUCGGAUGUGAAAUCCCGGAGCUCAACUCCGGAACUGCAUUCGAUACUGCGGUGCUUGAGGACUGGAGAGGAGAUCGGAAUUCACGGUGUAGCAGUGAAAUGCGUAGAUAUCGUGAGGAAGACCAGUGGCGAAGGCGGAUCUCUGGACAGUUCCUGACACUGAGGCACGAAGGCCAGGGGAGCAAACGGG